Molecule: ribosomal RNA, 407 nt
Filed under: uncultured bacterium
Lineage: Bacteria
Description: partial 16S ribosomal RNA
Rfam family: Bacterial small subunit ribosomal RNA
Source: RNAcentral
AUUGAACGCUGGCGGCAGGACUAACACAUGCAAGUCGAGCGGAGCGGCGGACGGGUGAGUAAUGCCUAGGAAUCUGCCUGGUAGUGGGGGGUAACGUCCGGCAACGGACGCUAAUACAGCAUACUAUCAGAUGAGCCUAGGUCGGAUUAGCGCGUUGGUGGGGUAAAGGCCUACCAAGGCGACGAUCCGUAACUGGUAUGAGAGGAUGAUUAGUCACAAGGGAAAUGAGACACGGGCCAGACUCCGACGGGAGGCAGCAGGGGGGAAUAUUGGACAAUGGGCGAAAGCCUGAUCCAGCCAUGCCGCGUGUGUGAAGAAGGUCUUCGGAGUGUAAAGCACUUUAAGUUGGGAGGCGUUACCAACAGAAUAAGCACCGGCUAACUUCGUGCCAGCAGCCGCGGUAAUAC